GCUCAGUACGGCGAGUGAGCGGCAACAGCUCAAAUUUGAAAGCUAGCCUUCGGGUUCGCAUUGUAAUUUGUAGAGGAUGCUUUGGGUAAAACGCCAGUCUAAGUUCCUUGGAACAGGACGUCAUAGAGGGUGAGAAUCCCGUAUGUGACUGGAAAUGUUAACCUAUGUAAAGCUCCUUCGACGAGUCGAGUUGUUUGGGAAUGCAGCUCUAAAUGGGAGGUAAAUUUCUUCUAAAGCUAAAUAUUGGCGAGAGACCGAUAGCGCACAAGUAGAGUGAUCGAAAGAUGAAAAGCACUUUGGAAAGAGAGUUAAAAAGCACGUGAAAUUGUUGAAAGGGAAGCGCUUGCAAUCAGACUUGUUUAAACUGUUCGGCCGGUCUUCUGACCGGUUUACUCAGUUUGGACAGGCCAGCAUCAGUUUCGGCGGCCGGAUAAAGGCUCUGGGAAUGUGGCCUCCACUUCGGUGGAGGUGUUAUAGCCCAGUGUGUAAUACGGCCAGCCGGGACUGAGGUCCGCGCUUCGGCUAGGAUGCUGGCGUAAUGGUUGUAAGCGACCCGUCU
This 559-nucleotide ribosomal RNA is filed under the name Aureobasidium sp. YM24623. RNAcentral describes it as "eukaryotic LSU rRNA". It matches the Rfam family "Eukaryotic large subunit ribosomal RNA", at positions 77 to 654 of the family's 3401-position model. Lineage: Eukaryota; Fungi; Ascomycota; Dothideomycetes; Dothideales; Saccotheciaceae. The record is from RNAcentral.